Molecule: ribosomal RNA, 862 nt
Filed under: uncultured Neocallimastigales
Lineage: Eukaryota; Fungi; Neocallimastigomycota; Neocallimastigomycetes; Neocallimastigales
Description: partial large subunit ribosomal RNA
Rfam family: Eukaryotic large subunit ribosomal RNA
Source: RNAcentral
CGCAUCUGUGCAUGCAGCAUAUCAAUAAGCGGAGGAAAAGAAACUAACAAGGAUUCCCUUAGUAACGGCGAGUGAAGCGGGAAGAGCUCAAAUUUGAAAUCUUCAAGGUUUUACCUUGACGAAUUGUAGUUUAAAGAAGUGUUUUCUGUUGAAGUUUUGGUAAAAGUUCUUUGGAAUAGGACAUCAUAGAGGGUGAGAAUCCCGUAUUUGACCAUUAUUUUCAGCUGUGUGAUACACUUUCAAAGAGUCGGAUUGUUUGAGAAUGCAGUCCAAAAUGGGUGGUAAAUUUCAUCUAAAGCUAAAUAUUGGCGAGAGACCGAUAGCGAACAAGUACCGUGAGGGAAAGAUGAAAAGAACUUUGAAAAGAGAGUUAAACAGUACGUGAAAUUGUCAAAAGGGAAGCGUUUGACACCAGUGUUGUUUUCUCGAAAAUCAAUUAAAAAGAGUUUGAUUUUGUUGUGUAUUGACCUUAACAGCUUGCAUUUCAAUUUUCUUGCUAUUUUUAAUGCACUUUUCGUUUAACAAGUCAACAUCAGUUUCUUUUGUUGUAAAAAGGUCAUUGGAAGGUGGCUUUCUUUUCGGAGAAAGUGUUUAUAGCCUUUGACUCCUGCAAUCGGAGAGACUGAGGUCUGCAGCGUAGAUCCUUCGGGGUUAGAUACAUUUGUGCUAAGUUAUAGCUUUUUAUAGACAACUUGUUGACUAUGAUUAGUCUUGUAGCUUACUCGCUUAUGCUAUUUUACCUACGCUUAGGAUGUUGACGCGCGUGUGUGCGUGAGUCUAUACAUGACUCUGAGCAUAUCAAUAAGCGGAGGAAAAGAGGGCUAUUACCUACGCUUAGGAUGUUGACGCGCGUGUGUGCGUG